This 846-nucleotide long non-coding RNA is filed under the name Prunus dulcis (almond). Its description in RNAcentral is "sRNA ncRNA". Lineage: Eukaryota; Viridiplantae; Streptophyta; Magnoliopsida; Rosales; Rosaceae. The record is from RNAcentral.
CCCAAGUUUAUCCUCUAAUUAUUGAAACAUUAAAUAGGUUUAAUCCAAUACUAAUUUUUAUCUAUUUGUUUAGAUAAUAUCAUUUAAAAACUAUUUCUAUAAAACCCUUCUGUGGGUAAUAUUGGCUGGUAAAAACCAAAACCAUAUUUCUCAUUAGCACAUUUCCAUAGUUUUUGUUUUUGUUUUGGUUUGAGAAAAUGGAUUUCGUUAACACAUCAAGAAUACAGUACAAGAUGCGACAACAUGCAGACAAAUUGGCCUCAUUAAAACCUUUAUGAGUAGUUGCGGAUCCAGGAAUUUUGCUUGCAAGGGUCAACAUCUUACGGGUGCAGCUCCUUAACCCUAUGUCUGUGUUGGCGGAGCUAUGUUUAGAUCCAGAGAAAAUGGGAAUAAAGAUGCUAUUUUAUUUAUGAGUUUGAAGAGAUAGGUUUAGAUCGAGAGAAAUGGAAAGGAAGAAAAUUGGUGGAGCUAGGGUUUUUCUCUCAUUAUUUUCUUUUAUAGACGUCCAUUAUGACCCUUGAGCUUCACAUUGUGGCAUUGUGGCUUUUCUCUCUGUGAUUUCUACUUCGUGUUUUUGGGCUUUCCACCUUAAGCUACACACCCAUGGCUUUCUCUGUCUUUUAAAAUUUUUAGAGACUUAGACCUGGAUUGAUUGUUUAAUGACAAUGAACAUAUUUUUAAUUACCUGAAAAAUAAAUGAACAUAUUUUUGAGUUAGAGACUUAGACCGUUUGACCCCAAAAAAAAAAUAAAAAAAAUCCUUGGACCAACCCGUGGAUUUGGCCUACUUUUCUUUAUUAUUUUUUUAGUUUUUUGUUGCUACAAUUACAUGCCCAUCACUUUGUGC